Molecule: ribosomal RNA, 781 nt
Filed under: uncultured Vibrio sp.
Lineage: Bacteria; Pseudomonadati; Pseudomonadota; Gammaproteobacteria; Vibrionales; Vibrionaceae
Description: bacterial SSU rRNA
Rfam family: Bacterial small subunit ribosomal RNA
Source: RNAcentral
AUUGAACGCUGGCGGCAGGCCUAACACAUGCAAGUCGAGCGGAAACGAGUUAUCUGAACCUUCGGGGAACGAUAACGGCGUCGAGCGGCGGACGGGUGAGUAAUGCCUGGGAAAUUGCCCUGAUGUGGGGGAUAACCAUUGGAAACGAUGGCUAAUACCGCAUGAUGCCUACGGGCCAAAGAGGGGGACCUUCGGGCCUCUCGCGUCAGGAUAUGCCUAGGUGGGAUUAGCUAGUUGGUGAGGUAAGGGCUCACCAAGGCGACGAUCCCUAGCUGGUCUGAGGGGAUGAUCAGCCACACUGGAACUGAGACACGGUCCAGACUCCUACGGGAGGCAGCAGUGGGGAAUAUUGCACAAUGGGCGCAAGCCUGAUGCAGCCAUGCCGCGUGUGUGAAGAAGGCCUUCGGGUUGUAAAGCACUUUCAGUAGGGAGGAAGGUUCAUGCGUUAAUAGCGUAUGGAUUUGACGUUACCUACAGAAGAAGCACCGGCUAACUCCGUGCCAGCAGCCGCGGUAAUACGGAGGGUGCGAGCGUUAAUCGGAAUUACUGGGCGUAAAGCGCAUGCAGGUGGUUAGUUAAGUCAGAUGUGAAAGCCCGGGGCUCAACCUCGGAAUUGCAUUUGAAACUGGCAGACUAGAGUACUGUAGAGGGGGGUAGAAUUUCAGGUGUAGCGGUGAAAUGCGUAGAGAUCUGAAGGAAUACCGGUGGCGAAGGCGGCCCCCUGGACAGAUACCGACACUCAAUGCGAAAGCGUGAGCAAACAGGAUUAGAUACCCUGGUA